GGCUUCGAAGCAGGGACGCCAGUUCCUGUGGAGCCAUCCUUGAGAUACCACCCUUGUUCUGCUUGAUGUCUAACCGCGGUCCGUCAUCCGGAUCCGGGACCCUGCGUGGCGGGUAGUUUGACUGGGGCGGUCGCCUCCCAAACAGUAACGGAGGCGCGCGAAGGUUGGCUCAGAGCGGUCGGAAAUCGCUCGUUGAGUGCAAUGGCAAAAGCCAGCCUGACUGCGAGACUGACAAGUCGAGCAGAGACGAAAGUCGGCCAUAGUGAUCCGGUGGUCCCGAGUGGAAGGGCCAUCGCUCAACGGAUAAAAGGUACGCCGGGGAUAACAGGCUGAUACUGCCCAAGAGUCCAUAUCGACGGCAGUGUUUGGCACCUCGAUGUCGGCUCAUCUCAUCCUGGGGCUGGAGCAGGUCCCAAGGGUACGGCUGUUCGCCGUUUAAAGAGGUACGUGAGCUGGGUUUAGAACGUCGUGAGACAGUUCGGUCCCUAUCUGCCGUGGGUGUAGGAUACUUGAGAGGAGUUGCCCCUAGUACGAGAGGACCGGGGUGAACGAUCCACUGGUGGACCUGUUGUCGUGCCAACGGCAGUGCAGGGUAGCUAUGAUCGGACAGGAUAACCGCUGAAGGCAUCUAAGCGGGAAGCCCCCCUCAAAACAAGGUAUCCCCGAGGGCCGUGGAAGACCACCACGUCGAUAGGCCGGAGAUGUAAGCGCAGCAAUGCGUUCAGUUGACCGGUACUAAUUGCCCGAUAGGCUUGAUUUG
This 760-nucleotide ribosomal RNA is filed under the name Rhodovulum steppense. Its description in RNAcentral is "partial 23S ribosomal RNA". It matches the Rfam family "Bacterial large subunit ribosomal RNA", at positions 2153 to 2925 of the family's 2925-position model. Lineage: Bacteria; Pseudomonadati; Pseudomonadota; Alphaproteobacteria; Rhodobacterales; Paracoccaceae. The record is from RNAcentral.